GACGUAGGGUCCGAGCGUUGUCCGGAAUUACUGGGCGUAAAGAGCUCGUAGGUGGUUUGUCGCGUUGUUCGUGAAAACUCACAGCUCAACUGUGGGCGUGCGGGCGAUACGGGCAGACUUGAGUACUGCAGGGGAGACUGGAAUUCCUGGUGUAGCGGUGGAAUGCGCAGAUAUCAGGAGGAACACCGGUGGCGAAGGCGGGUCUCUGGGCAGUAACUGACGCUGAGGAGCGAAAGCGUGGGGAGCGAACAGG
RNAcentral lists this ribosomal RNA (253 nucleotides) under uncultured bacterium. Its description in RNAcentral is "partial 16S ribosomal RNA". It matches the Rfam family "Bacterial small subunit ribosomal RNA", at positions 524 to 776 of the family's 1533-position model. The record is from RNAcentral.